Long non-coding RNA from Culex quinquefasciatus (southern house mosquito), 801 nucleotides. RefSeq lists it as uncharacterized. The record is from RefSeq and is a predicted model, not a curated record. NCBI's taxonomy places the organism in Eukaryota, Metazoa, Arthropoda, Insecta, Diptera, Culicidae. The transcript is spliced from 3 exons.
ACUCGACAUGCGCGACAUUGUUUUUUCCAUCGAUUUUCCUUCAAUUUGACGUCACGAUAUUCGUCGACGCAGUUUGACAGUUCUCUUCAGUUGGUCUUGUUUGGACUUGAUCAAAUCAGAGAAACUUUGUACCGAAUCGAACCAGUUUACGUUGCCGAAAGUUAGUGUGGAUUUUGGCCGGUUGAUUGAUUUCCUGAUUUCGGCCUUCGUGAUGGAGGAGGAGGAGGAGGAGGAGAACGGGUCACAUCGUUGCUCCAGCGGGCCAUGCCGGAAGACGGGAAGGGAAGCACCCGGUCUGCGAUCGAGGAAGCGGUGCGUGCCAUACCCAAGGAGGAGGACAAUGGAACGGCAAGUAAUGGAUGUUUCCCCCAAUGGAACAGAAGGAGGGAGAAAGACCAUUCCCCUUCCCGUCAAGUCUUGGGGAGGUGUACAAUGUUCCGUGUGAAAAGAAAGGUGGAGGAAGACGGCGUUUCUGAUCCGCCGGAGGUUUUUAUACGGUAACCAAAAAUAUUCCAAUCGAAUCCUGCUGACAACCCAGCAUUUCCGUGUUGUCCCACGGAACGGAAGCUGUAACGAUCCCAAAAACACUUGCACCGGAAGUGCGUAAACCGACCUUGUCCGGACUCCGGUGCCCAUCCGUUCGUGGGAUGCCGAGGCGACGAGAUGAACUGAAAGGCCAACUGGAAGACAACGCCAAAAACCACGUGAAGAUCGCGACACACAACAAGUAAAAUUAAUGAAUGUUUGUGAAAUCGAGUGAAAAAGAUUAAUUUACAGAAAAAUACAUAUAAACAUAAUUUA